RNAcentral lists this ribosomal RNA (443 nucleotides) under uncultured bacterium. Its description in RNAcentral is "partial 16S ribosomal RNA". It matches the Rfam family "Bacterial small subunit ribosomal RNA", at positions 338 to 795 of the family's 1533-position model. The record is from RNAcentral.
CCUACGGGCGGCAGCAGUGAGGAAUAUUGGUCAAUGGAGGCAACUCUGACCCAGCAACGCCGCGUGAAUGAUGAAGGUCUUCGGAUUGUAAAGUUCUGUGAUGGGGGAUGAACACAAUGACGGUACCCCAAUAGCAAGCCACGGCUAACUACGUGCCAGCAGCCGCGGUAAUACGUAGGUGGCAAGCGUUAUCCGGAAUGACUGGGCGUAAAGGGUGCGUAGGUGGUUUAGUAAGUUGGCGGUGUAAUUCCGGGGCUCAACCUCGGCGCUACCGCCAAAACUAUUAGACUAGAGUGCAGGGGGGGUAAGUGGAAUUCCUAGUGUAGCGGUGGAAUGCGUAGAUAUUAGGAGGAACAUCAGGGGCGAAGGCGACUUACUGGACUGUAACUGACACUGAGGCACGAAAGCGUGGGGAGCAAACAGGAUUAGAUACCCCGGUAGUC